CUGGCUCAGGAUGAACGCUGGCGGCGUAGCCUAACACAUGCAAGUCGAGCGAUCUCUCGGAGAGAGCGGCGGACGGGUGAGUAACGCGUGGGUAACCUGCCCUGUACACACGGAUAACAUACCGAAAGGUAUACUAAUACGGGAUAACAUAUGAAAGUCGCAUGGCUUUUGUAUCAAAGCUCCGGCGGUACAGGAUGGACCCGCGUCUGAUUAGCUAGUUGGUAAGGUAAUGGCUUACCAAGGCAACGAUCAGUAGCCGACCUGAGAGGGUGAUCGGCCACACUGGAACUGAGACACGGUCCAGACUCCUACGGGAGGCAGCAGUGGGGAAUAUUGCACAAUGGGCGAAAGCCUGAUGCAGCAACGCCGCGUGAGCGAUGAAGGCCUUCGGGUCGUAAAGCUCUGUCCUCAAGGAAGAUAAUGACGGUACUUGAGGAGGAAGCCCCGGCUAACUACGUGCCAGCAGCUGC
RNAcentral lists this ribosomal RNA (470 nucleotides) under uncultured bacterium. Its description in RNAcentral is "bacterial SSU rRNA". It matches the Rfam family "Bacterial small subunit ribosomal RNA", at positions 19 to 518 of the family's 1533-position model. The record is from RNAcentral.